UACAGAGACUGCAAGCGUUAUUCGGAUUCACUGGGCGUAAAGGGUGCGCAGGCGGUUGUGUGUGUCAGGUGUGAAAGCCCGGGGCUUAACCCCGGAAUUGCGCCUGAAACUACAUGACUAGAGCAUUGGAGAGGGUAGCGGAAUUCACGGUGUAGCAGUGAAAUGCGUAGAUAUCAGGAGGAACACCGGUGGUGUAAACGGCUUUCUGGACCAUAACUGACGCUGAGGCACGAAAGCGUGGGUAGCAAACAGG
This 253-nucleotide ribosomal RNA is filed under the name uncultured bacterium. Its description in RNAcentral is "partial 16S ribosomal RNA". It matches the Rfam family "Bacterial small subunit ribosomal RNA", at positions 524 to 776 of the family's 1533-position model. The record is from RNAcentral.